CUAAUACAUGCAAGUCGAGCGAACAGACGAGGAGCUUGCUCCUCUGACGUUAGCGGCGGACGGGUGAGUAACACGUGGAUAACCUACCUAUAAGACUGGGAUAACUUCGGGAAACCGGAGCUAAUACCGGAUAAUAUAUUGAACCGCAUGGUUCAAUAGUGAAAGACGGUUUUGCUGUCACUUAUAGAUGGAUCCGCGCCGCAUUAGCUAGUUGGUAAGGUAACGGCUUACCAAGGCAACGAUGCGUAGCCGUACCUGAGAGGGUGAUCGGCCACACUGGAACUGAGACACGGUCCAGACUCCUACGGGAGGCAGCAGUAGGGAAUCUUCCGCAAUGGGCGAAAGCCUGACGGAGCAACGCCGCGUGAGUGAUGAAGGUCUUCGGAUCGUAAAACUCUGUUAUUAGGGAAGAACAAAUGUGUAAGUAACUAUGCACGUCUUGACGGUACCUAAUCAGAAAGCCACGGCUAACUACGUGCCAGCAGCCGCGGUAAUACGUAGCGUGGCAAGCGUUAUCCGGAAUUAUUGGGCGUAAAGCGCGCGUAGGCGCGUUUUUUAAGUCUGAUGUGAAAGCCCACGGGUCAACCGUGGAGGGUCAUUGGAAACUGGAAAACUUGAGUGAAGAAAAAGAAAGUGGAAUUCCAUGUGUAGCGGUGAAAUGCGCAGAGAUAUGGAGGAACACCAGUGGCGAAGGCGACUUUCUGGUCUGUAACUGACGCUGAUGUGCGAAAGCGUGGGGAUCAAACAGGAUUAGAUACCCUGGUAGUCCACGCCGUAAACGAUGAGUGCUAAGUGUUAGGGGGUUUCCGCCCCCUUUAGUGCUGCAGCUAACGCAUUAAGCACUCCGCCUGGGGAGUACGACCGCAAGGUUGAAACUCAAAGGAAUUGACGGGGAUCCCGCACCAAGCGGUGGAGCAUGUGGUUUAAUUCGAAGCAACGCGAAGAACCUUACCAAAUCUUGACAUCCUCUGACCCCUCUAGAGAUAGAGUUUUCCCCUCUCGGGGGACAAGAUUGACAGUGGUGCCAUGAGUUGUCGUCAGCUCGUGUCGUGAGAUGUUUGGGUUAAGUCCCGCAACG
This 1078-nucleotide ribosomal RNA is filed under the name Staphylococcus epidermidis. Its description in RNAcentral is "bacterial SSU rRNA". It matches the Rfam family "Bacterial small subunit ribosomal RNA", at positions 48 to 1094 of the family's 1533-position model. Lineage: Bacteria; Bacillati; Bacillota; Bacilli; Caryophanales; Staphylococcaceae. The record is from RNAcentral.